GACGAACGCUGGCGGCGUGCCUAAUACAUGCAAGUCGAACGCUUUUUCUUUCACCGGAGCUUGCUCCACCGAAAGAAAAAGAGUGGCGAACGGGUGAGUAACACGUGGGUAACCUGCCCAUCAGAAGGGGAUAACACUUGGAAACAGGUGCUAAUACCGUAUAACACUAUUUUCCGCAUGGAAGAAAGUUGAAAGGCGCUUUUGCGUCACUGAUGGAUGGACCCGCGGUGCAUUAGCUAGUUGGUGAGGUAACGGCUCACCAAGGCAACGAUGCAUAGCCGACCUGAGAGGGUGAUCGGCCACACUGGGACUGAGACACGGCCCAGACUCCUACGGGAGGCAGCAGUAGGGAAUCUUCGGCAAUGGACGAAAGUCUGACCGAGCAACGCCGCGUGAGUGAAGAAGGUUUUCGGAUCGUAAAACUCUGUUGUUAGAGAAGAACAAGGAUGAGAGUAAAAUGUUCAUCCCUUGACGGUAUCUAACCAGAAAGCCACGGCUAACUACGUGCCAGCAGCCGCGGUAAUACGUAGGUGGCAAGCGUUGUCCGGAUUUAUUGGGCGUAAAGCGAGCGCAGGCGGUUUCUUAAGUCUGAUGUGAAAGCCCCCGGCUCAACCGGGGAGGGUCAUUGGAAACUGGGAGACUUGAGUGCAGAAGAGGAGAGUGGAAUUCCAUGUGUAGCGGUGAAAUGCGUAGAUAUAUGGAGGAACACCAGUGGCGAAGGCGGCUCUCUGGUCUGUAACUGACGCUGAGGCUCGAAAGCGUGGGGAGCGAACAGGAU
Molecule: ribosomal RNA, 778 nt
Filed under: Enterococcus casseliflavus
Lineage: Bacteria; Bacillati; Bacillota; Bacilli; Lactobacillales; Enterococcaceae
Description: bacterial SSU rRNA
Rfam family: Bacterial small subunit ribosomal RNA
Source: RNAcentral